CUUUUCAUUUGGACCCCUACAAGCGAAUACUUGGCUCCACAUGUCAGCCAGCUCCUGACUCUCUUCAGCGAGUAGGAGCUUCAUUCAAGGUUUCUCUUAAGUUCACGUAACAAAAACUUGAAUACUACUGAACUUGGAGUGAACAGCACAAUCACCCCCAUUCUCAGCUCUGAUGCUGAAUCUACUGAUAUUAAAAAGCUCCAAGUUAAACUGUGUAAUGUCAGAUGAAUAUGUGUCAUACCAUGGUUAGACUUCUGAAUGUAACAGGCCCAUAGCCAGGUUUUUAGAAAUACUGAGGUUAUGAGUCAAAAAUCCCAGUGGAGCCAACCAGCUAACAUACUGUACCUAACCAGUCACCAAAAAAGCCUGUGAAAUGUUCUGAUUGUAAUAUACAUUUUAAGAAUUCUUUUAACAGUACAUAACAGAAUUAUAUUUACUGUAAGUUAUUUUCAGUAUUAUGAUUAUUCUCUCCACACUGCCCCACAUUGGUAUCAUUCUGGUGGAGAAAACCAAAUCCCUUUACUUUUUAUUAAAUGUAAUAUUGCAUAUAAGCACUUAUAUUUGAGGGCAUUUGAAAAAUUUGAUGAUCAGUCAUCAAAACCUGCCACAAAGCAACAGAGAGUAAACUCCUUGGCCCUGGUGUCAUCAGUGGUAACUACAGCCCUGGCUGUAGGAAUAUGUAUGCAUGUAAACCCUUACAUACAUAAUGUACUUCUCAACAAUUAAGGGAUUAAACAUAUUUCCCAAUGUUGACCUACAUGGCACAAUGUCAAUUCCUAAACAGAAUUUUUAGAUGCAUUUCAAAAGAGGCAGCUACACUAAUGUGAAUGCUUGUUAAUACACCAAGUCCCCACUGACCAGCAUGAGACAGACAACAGUCUGAGAAUAUUCCUCACCAACAACACCAGAACUGUGUGUUCAACAAAGGAGUAUACUGUCUCUCCAACUAAGGCACAGAGGGAUCUCAUCAAGCCUAAGUGGCACAGCUGGGAGUAUGUAAGCAUGUGGAAAGCAAAGACAAUUAUUGUCAAAGGAAUUCACUGUUCUUCAGAUUGUCCAGAUUAUGAAUACAGAAAUUCCUAAUCUUCACACUUCUUGAAGUGACAUCCUGUGGUAUUCAGGGUGUCCCAGAGGAUGAAGAACUGUGUAACUUAUAUGGAAGAGUCAUCAGAGGGAAACUUUACCUGCAACCUCAUCAUAAAAUCAACAUCUGAAGUCUGCAAAGCAACAUCUGGAUAAGGAAACAAGUGCUGUGGACAGACAAAGUUCAAACCGAGCUCUCUGGCCACAAUGACCAAAGUUGUGAAAACAGACAUUUGACCAACAGAACACCUUGGCAAGUCUUCAGCAUGGAGUGGAAAGAUUCUGCUUUGGGGUUGUAUGACAGCCAGUGGCCAGGAAAGAGGGAAGAAUGGAUUCCACUGAAUAUCAGCAAAUUCUAGAUGCAAAUGUCCUGCAGUCAGUCAGAACAAUGAUCCAGAGCAGACCUCAAAAUCCACCAUGAACUGCUUCAAGAAACCAUUCCAAAAGCUCCUGUCAGUCUCCUGACAUGAACAUCUAAAUACUGACUUAGUAGGGUUCAUUACUGCUUCAUUCAUUUUUAUCUUUUAAGUUGAUCACAUUUUGCUUUCUGUUUGCUGCAGGGUUGGCUUUAUUUCCUCUUACUUCAAAAACCAACAAAGUAUGUCAUUUGCCCAGGGGUGGUAGAACAUAGAAAAUGAAUAUCUGUUGACAAUAAGAAGAAUCACCACUCUGAAGUUAAUUAAAAAGAACCAAGGGUGGUAACUUAUGGCAAAAGUGUUAUGGAUACUGACCAACAGCACUGACUUUGAUAUGAGAAACAUUUAGAGGAAAUGAACAGUUUGUGUGAAUUUAUGUGUGAACACACACACUGACUGGACUGCCAUUAGAUAAUGCUGCUGUUUCUCAGCUGCAGCUUAUCUAAGUGCAGGGUUGCUGCCGCUGUAGAACAUAAAAACAAUGGAACAGUUCCUGUUUUGUUCCAAAGGAAGUUGAGGGAAUGAGAAAAUAAGAUUGUAUGACAGAAGAUGUGAGGUCUCUCACAUCACCAUGCAAAACCCUUAUCUUUUAUCUACAUUUGGUGUUCCUGAAAAACUAAAUGGAUGUUGUGGAACAUUCUGGAACAUUCCCUGGAACGUAGACAGUGUGAACUCAGUGAGCAGCUGGAGUGGAAAGGGUGCUAUACAUCUAUGGAUUAUGCCUUUGACUGAUACAAGAUUUUAAUUAAGUGCCUGUUAUAGAGUGGGGUGAUCAUCACACUUGACACACCACCAAAUUUGCAGUUCCCCUAGUCUCAGUACUGUCUCUGCCGGAUGUGUAAAUAAACUAAGAUCUUAAUAAGUUGGUAAUAUAUCAAGGUUGUGUUUACAGCUAGCUGUGCUAACCUGAAAGUGUGUCAAAAAAACCAAAUAGUUUAUGCAGGUUUAAAAAUGAAAAGAAUAUAAUCUUACUUACAAUGAAGAGUAACAUUAAGAGUACAACCUCAUAAAAACAGGUGUAUGUCUUCUAUGGCACCUUUAACCCCAACCCUAUCCCUAACCCUAUGUCAUCAAAGGAGUUUAGACCAGGCAGUUACCAGGCAGGGAGAGAUGUCUGUUGCUACACUGACAUCUUAUGGGAUAGAUGGUCGAGAUGGGAAGGUUUACCGUGCAACAGGACAACUCGAGACAUUUGUAUGACUGCAUAGUUGGUUAAGAGAGGGAUAAAAUGCUGUACACUGGCAGUAUAAUACUGUCCAUUAUUUACAUGUCAGAAAAUGGUUGGUUACUCUCACAUGACAGGAAUACAGCAUAACAAAAGAUCCUAAUAUAUUGCUUUAUGGGAAAUGUAAGCUCCAGGGCCCAGUCACACUGCCAAGUACACCAACUUUGUAAAAGUAAAUCAUUGGAGUGGCCCUUUAAAACUGAAAAGGUUAAAAUGCAUAUGGUCUAUUGAAGUUAAAUCAAUACAGUAAAAUUAAUCCAUGAUGUGAUUUAGGAUGCAGAUCAUUACCUGUAAAAACAGUGUAAACACAGUGACAUGUGGAUAAGUUCAAUUUAAUAGGUUUGAUUUGUACAUUUGUAACAGUAAUGUGUGCAACAAAACCGUACAGUUAGCCCCAAGUUGGCUAACUCAAAAGAUAGUUUUCUUGGUAUACAUACAUGAAAUAAUUCACAAUCUACACUUUAAAGUACAUGAAGAUUACAGUACAAUUUUUCUAAACUGAGACGCAGUCUCAAAUUAAGCCACUAGAUUACAUCUUCUUGUGUUUUGUUGCCCAGUGUCAUUAUAAUACACUCUAGUGUUC
Lates calcarifer (barramundi perch) is the source of this 3307-nucleotide long non-coding RNA. RefSeq lists it as uncharacterized. The transcript is spliced from 3 exons. NCBI's taxonomy places the organism in Eukaryota, Metazoa, Chordata, Actinopteri, Centropomidae. The record is from RefSeq and is a predicted model, not a curated record.